The sequence is an unclassified non-coding RNA, 334 nucleotides long. Its record names the gene 7SK. It matches the Rfam family "7SK RNA". From Rfam's summary of the family: 7SK was discovered as an abundant small nuclear RNA in the mid-70s but a possible function has only recently been suggested. Two independent studies have found that 7SK RNA binds the CDK9/cyclin T complex (known as elongation factor P-TEFb). The record is from Ensembl.
GGAUGUGAGGGCGAUCUGGCUGCAACGUCAUUCACCCCAUUGAUCGCCAGGGUUGAUUCGGCUGAUCUGGCUGGCUAGGCACGUGUGUCCCCUUCCUCCCUCACGGCUCCAUGUGCGUCCCUCCCAAAGCUGCGCACUCGGUCGAAGAGGAUGACCAUCCCGAUAGAAGAGGGCCGUUCUUCCGUCGAGGGUAUACGAGUAGCUGCGCUCCCCUGCUAGAACCUCCAAACAAGCUCUCAAGAUGUGUUUGCACUGUAUUUUAAGUUUUCAAGUGGGCCUAAAAUUCAAAAUGUAAUUUGAACUGAAUCAAACUAAAGCCACAAAAUUAGUAUUU